This 1042-nucleotide long non-coding RNA is filed under the name Apteryx rowi (Okarito brown kiwi). Its description in RNAcentral is "lncRNA (ENSARWG00000005377.1)". Lineage: Eukaryota; Metazoa; Chordata; Aves; Apterygiformes; Apterygidae. The record is from RNAcentral.
CAAAAGCAGACCGAGUGUUCGGGCUUCAGCGGCACCGGUUUAUUGGGUGACGGACGGACGGACCCAUAGACGGACAGACCCAUAGACGGACAGACGGCUCCACGGAGAGCUCCACGGACGGACAGACGGCCCCACGGACGGCUUUGCGGACAGACGGACCCCCAGGCGACUCCACAGACGGAUGGACGGAUGGCCCCAUGGACGGCUUUGCGGACGGACGGACAGACGGACGGACGGCCCCGGGGCGGCGCCUCAGCGGCGGCGGCCGAAGCGCUGCGGCGUCGCCAUGGUCCAGAACGGGGCGGCCAGAGGGUCCCAGCUGCGGGGGCUGCGCCGGGCCGGGGCACCCGCCCGCCCGAACCUGCACCGCCAACAUGGCCCCGCUGACGCCCGCGGAUGGACGGACGGACGCACGGACGGGGACAGAUGGACGGGGAGGGGCAGGGAUGGAUGGAUGGACAGGGACAGGCGCAGGUGGGAACAGACGGAUGGAUGGGGACAGACAAAUGGACGGGGACGGACUGAGGGGCACGGAUGGACAGACGGAGACAGGGACAGAGGCACAGACGGAUAGGGACAGACAGACAAGGAGGGAUAGAUGGGGACGGAUGGGGAUAUGGGGAUGGGCUGAGGAAUGGAUGGACAGAGGGACAGGGACGGAUGGGGAUGGCUGGGACGGGCAGGUACGCACAUGGGGAUGGGUGGUGACGGGCACACGACGGAUGGGGACAGACGGACGAACAGGGACAAACAGGCACACACAAAUGGACAGGGACGGAUGGGGACAGACCAUGGAUGGACAGACGAACACAGGGACACACGGACAGAGGCUACCGGCUGGGCCACCCACUUGUGCCCGCUGGGGCCACCAGGUCACACAGGUCCCUCCCUGCUCCCAGCUCCCUGCCCACCCCCGGGUGCCCGGUGCCCCCGGACGCCUGGGCCCCCCCGGACGCCUGGGCCCCGAGCGCGCUCACCUCUGCGGCUGGAAGAGGAAGGCCGGGCUGCGGCCGGGACGCUGCAGGGCCCGGAGNNNNNNNNN